AUGAACGCUGGCGGCGUGCUUAACCCAUGCAAGUCGAACGAAGCACUUUAUUUGAUUUCCUUCGGGACUGAUUAUUUUGUGACUGAGUGGCGGACGGGUGAGUAACGCGUGGGUAACCUGCCUUGUACAGGGGGAUAACAGUUGGAAACGGCUGCUAAUACCGCAUAAGCGCACAGCAUCGCAUGAUGCAGUGUGAAAAACUCCGGUGGUAUAAGAUGGGCCCGCGUUGGAUUAGCUAGUUGGUGAGGUAACGGCCCACCAAGGCGACGAUCCAUAGCCGACCUGAGAGGGUGACCGGCCACAUUGGGACUGAGACACGGCCCAAACUCCUACGGGAGGCAGCAGUGGGGAAUAUUGCACAAUGGGCGAAAGCCUGAUGCAGCGACGCCGCGUGAGCGAAGAAGUAUUUCGGUAUGUAAAGCUCUAUCAGCAGGGAAGAUAAUGACGGUACCUGACUAAGAAGCACCGGCUAAAUACGUG
Molecule: ribosomal RNA, 480 nt
Filed under: uncultured bacterium
Lineage: Bacteria
Description: partial 16S ribosomal RNA
Rfam family: Bacterial small subunit ribosomal RNA
Source: RNAcentral